UGAGGAAUAUUGGUCAAUGGGCGAGAGCCUGAACCAGCCAAGUAGCGUGAAGGAUGACUGCCCUAUGGGUUGUAAACUUCUUUUAUAAGGGAAUAAAGUGGAGUAUGUAUACUCCUUUGUAUGUACCUUACGAAUAAGGAUCGGCUAACUCCGUGCCAGCAGCCGCGGUAAUACGGAGGAUCCGAGCGUUAUCCGGAUUUAUUGGGUUUAAAGGGAGCGUAGGCGGAUGUUUAAGUCAGUUGUAGAAAGUUUAAGGCUCAACCUUGAAAUUGCAGUUGAUACUGGAUAUCUUGAGUACAUUGAAUGUGGGCGGUAAUUCGUGGUGUAGCGGUGAAAUGCUUAGAUAUCACGAAGAACUCCAAUUGCGAAGGCAGCUCACAGUAAUGUAACUGACGCUGA
This 399-nucleotide ribosomal RNA is filed under the name uncultured bacterium. RNAcentral's name for it is "bacterial SSU rRNA". It matches the Rfam family "Bacterial small subunit ribosomal RNA", at positions 355 to 749 of the family's 1533-position model. The record is from RNAcentral.